Non-coding RNA from Trichobilharzia regenti, 46 nucleotides. Lineage: Eukaryota; Metazoa; Platyhelminthes; Trematoda; Strigeidida; Schistosomatidae. The record is from Rfam.
GUACUGAUGAGGAGUCCCAAACUGGGACGAAACAGCUGUCCAGCAC